UCUUGGCUCAGAUUGAACGCUGGCGGCAGGCCUAACACAUGCAAGUCGAACGGUAACAGGAAGAAGCUUGCUUCUUUGCUGACGAGUGGCGGACGGGUGAGUAAUGUCUGGGAAACUGCCUGAUGGAGGGGGAUAACUACUGGAAACGGUAGCUAAUACCGCAUAACGUCGCAAGACCAAAGAGGGGGACCUUCGGGCCUCUUGCCAUCGGAUGUGCCCAGAUGGGAUUAGCUAGUAGGCGGGGUAACGGCUCACCUAGGCGACGAUCCCUAGCUGGUCUGAGAGGAUGACCAGCCACACUGGAACUGAGACACGGUCCAGACUCCUACGGGAGGCAGCAGUGGGGAAUAUUGCACAAUGGGCGCAAGCCUGAUGCAGCCAUGCCGCGUGUAUGAAGAAGGCCUUCGGGUUGUAAAGUACUUUCAGCGGGGAGGAAGGGAGUAAAGUUAAUACCUUUGCUCAUUGACGUUACCCGCAGAAGAAGCACCGGCUAACUCCGUGCCAGCAGCCGCGGUAAUACGGAGGGUGCAAGCGUUAAUCGGAAUUACUGGGCGUAAAGCGCAAGCAGGCGGUUUGUUAAGUCAGAUGUGAAAUCCCCGGGCUCAACCUGGGAACUGCAUCUGAUACUGGCAAGCUUGAGUCUCGUAGAGGGGGGUAGAAUUCCAGGUGUAGCGGUGAAAUGCGUAGAGAUCAGAAGGAAUACCGGUGGCGAAGGCGGCCCCCUGGACGAAGACUGACGCUCAGGUGCGAAAGCGUGGGGAACAAACAGGAUUAGAUACCCUGGUAGUCCACGCCGUAAACGAUGUCGACUUGGAGGUUGUGCCCUUGAGGCGUGGCUUCCGGAGCUAACGCGUUAAGUCGACCGCCUGGGGAGUACGGCCGCAAGGUUAAAACUCAAAUGAAUUGACGGGGGCCCGCACAAGCGGUGGAGCAUGUGGUUUAAUUCGAUGCAACGCGAAGAACCUUACCUGGUCUUGACAUCCACGGAAGUUUUCAGAGAUGAGAAUGUGCCUUCGGGAACCGUGAGACAGGUGCUGCAUGGCUGUCGUCAGCUCGUGUUGUGAAAUGUUGGGUUAAGUCCCGCAACGAGCGCAACCCUUAUCCUUUGUUGCCAGCGGUCCGGCCGGGAACUCAAAGGAGACUGCCAGUGAUAAACUGGAGGAAGGUGGGGAUGACGUCAAGUCAUCAUGGCCCUUACGACCAGGGCUACACACGUGCUACAAUGGCGCAUACAAAGAGAAGCGACCUCGCGAGAGCAAGCGGACCUCAUAAAGUGCGUCGUAGUCCGGAUUGGAGUCUGCAACUCGACUCCAUGAAGUCGGAAUCGCUAGUAAUCGUGGAUCAGAAUGCCACGGUGAAUACGUUCCCGGGCCUUGUACACACCGCCCGUCACACCAUGGGAGUGGGUUGCAAAAGAAGUAGGUAGCUUAACCUUCGGGAGGGCGCUUACCACUUUGUGAUUCAUGACUGGGGUGAAGU
This 1479-nucleotide ribosomal RNA is filed under the name uncultured bacterium. Its description in RNAcentral is "16S ribosomal RNA". It matches the Rfam family "Bacterial small subunit ribosomal RNA". The record is from RNAcentral.